UAGGGUGCAAGCGUUAAUCGGAAUUACUGGGCGUAAAGCGUGCGUAGGCGGUUAUUUAAGUCAGGUGUGAAAGCCCCGGGCUCAACCUGGGAAUUGCAUUUGAGACUGAAUAGCUAGGGUGCGGAAGAGGGAAGCGGAAUUUCCGGUGUAGCGGUGAAAUGCGUAGAUAUCGGAAGGAACACCAGUGGCGAAAGCGGCUUCCUGGUCCAGCACCGACGUUCAGGCACGAAAGCGUGGGGAGCAAACAGG
Molecule: ribosomal RNA, 249 nt
Filed under: uncultured bacterium
Lineage: Bacteria
Description: partial 16S ribosomal RNA
Rfam family: Bacterial small subunit ribosomal RNA
Source: RNAcentral